This 506-nucleotide ribosomal RNA is filed under the name uncultured bacterium. RNAcentral describes it as "partial 16S ribosomal RNA". It matches the Rfam family "Bacterial small subunit ribosomal RNA", at positions 30 to 523 of the family's 1533-position model. The record is from RNAcentral.
AUUGAACGCUGGCGGCAUGCCUAACACAUGCAAGUCGAACGGCAGCACGGUCUAGUUUACUAGAUGGGUGGCGAGUGGCGGACGGGUGAGUAAUGCGCAGGAAUAUGCCUUAAAGUGGGGGACAACUUGGGGAAACUCAAGCUAAUACCGCGUAAUCUCUGAGGAGAAAAGCUGGGGACCUUCGGGCCUGGCGCUUUAAGAUUAGCCUGCGUCCGAUUAGCUAGUUGGUAGGGUAAAGGCCUACCAAGGCGACGAUCGGUAGCUGGUCUGAGAGGAUGACCAGCCAUACUGGAACUGAGAAACGGUCCAGACUCCUACGGGAGGCAGCAGUGGGGAAUAUUGUACAAUGGGGGCAACCCUGAUCCAGCAAUGCCGCGUGUGUGAAGAAGGCCUGAGGGUUGUAAAGCACUUUCAGUGGGGAGGAGGAUUGAUAGGUUAAGAGCUAAUUAAUUGGACGUUACCCACAGAAGAAGCACCGGCUAACUCCGUGCCAGCCGCCGCGGUAA